UGGUUGUGCGUGGUGGUGGUAGUGCGCGAUGGUUGUAGUGCAAGGGGUGGUAGUGCGCGGUGCUGAUAGUGCACGAUGGUGACAAGGGUGACCUGAUUGAGUGGAGCGAUGACCUUACUAAACGGAAAUGGAGGCAGUCUUGAUUUAUAACUGUAAUGGAGUGGAAGAGAAGAAAAAGGUGGAGUAAAAGAUGGAGAAGUAGGACAAGAACUUUCUUCCUCGCGCAAAUGAGCAAGAACUGUGAGAAAGGGAGACAUAUAACGAAAUUGGCUCACGGACAAAGAGGAAAAAUGAGCAGGAAAACUCUCAUUCAUUUUACUGAUGAAUUUUCGAUCGGUAUUGUAUAUUUCAUUU
Molecule: long non-coding RNA, 354 nt
Filed under: Vigna radiata
Lineage: Eukaryota; Viridiplantae; Streptophyta; Magnoliopsida; Fabales; Fabaceae
Description: long non-coding RNA (VRAD_LNC000405)
Source: RNAcentral